CCUGGUCUUGACAUCCACGGAAGUUUUCAGAGAUGAGAAUGUGCCUUCGGGAACCGUGAGACAGGUGCUGCAUGGCUGUCGUCAGCUCGUGUUGUGAAAUGUUGGGUUAAGUCCCGCAACGAGCGCAACCCUUAUCCUUUGUUGCCAGCGGUCCGGCCGGGAACUCAAAGGAGACUGCCAGUGAUAAACUGGAGGAAGGUGGGGAUGACGUCAAGCCAUCAUGGCCCUUACGACCAGGGCUACACACGUGCUACAAUGGCGCAUACAAAGAGAAGCGACCUCGCGAGAGCAAGCGGACCUCAUAAAGUGCGUCGUAGUCCGGAUUGGAGUCUGCAACUCGACUCCAUGAAGUCGGAAUCGCUAGUAAUCGUGGAUCAGAAUGCCACGGUGAAUACGUUCCCGGGCCUU
This 408-nucleotide ribosomal RNA is filed under the name uncultured Enterobacteriaceae bacterium. RNAcentral's name for it is "bacterial SSU rRNA". It matches the Rfam family "Bacterial small subunit ribosomal RNA", at positions 974 to 1382 of the family's 1533-position model. Lineage: Bacteria; Pseudomonadati; Pseudomonadota; Gammaproteobacteria; Enterobacterales; Enterobacteriaceae. The record is from RNAcentral.